GACGAACGCUGGCGGCGUGCCUAAUACAUGCAAGUAGAACGCACAGUUUAUACCGUAGCUUGCUACACCAUAGACUGUGAGUUGCGAACGGGUGAGUAACGCGUAGGUAACCUGCCUGGUAGCGGGUCAUAACUAUUGAGAACGAUAGCUAAUACCUCAUAAUCUUCAUUAUUCCAUGAUAAUUAAUUGAAAUGUUCAAUUUCAUCACUACCACAUGGCCCUGCGUUGUAUUAGCUAGUAGGUGAGGUAACGGCUCCCCUAGGCGACGAUAGAUAUCCGAACUGGGAGGGGGAUCGGCCAAACUGGGACUGAGACACGGCCCAGACUCCUACGGGAGGCAGCAGUAGGGAAUCGUCGGCAAUGGACGAAAGGCUGAACGAGCAAAGCCGCGGGAGUGAAGAAGGUUCUCGGAUCGUAAAGCUCUGUUGUAAGAGAAGAAAGGGAGUGAGAAUGGAAAGUUCACACUGUGACGGUAUCUUACCAGAAAGGGACGGCUAACUACGUG
Molecule: ribosomal RNA, 505 nt
Filed under: uncultured bacterium
Lineage: Bacteria
Description: partial 16S ribosomal RNA
Rfam family: Bacterial small subunit ribosomal RNA
Source: RNAcentral